RNAcentral lists this ribosomal RNA (401 nucleotides) under uncultured bacterium. Its description in RNAcentral is "bacterial SSU rRNA". It matches the Rfam family "Bacterial small subunit ribosomal RNA", at positions 30 to 436 of the family's 1533-position model. The record is from RNAcentral.
AUUGAACGCUGGCGGCAUGCCUUACACAUGCAAGUCGAACGGCAGCGGACCUUCGGGUGCCGGCGAGUGGCGAACGGGUGAGUAAUAUAUCGGAACGUACCUUUCAGUGGGGGAUAACGUAGCGAAAGUUACGCUAAUACCGCAUAUUCUGUGAGCAGGAAAGCAGGGGAUCGCAAGACCUUGCGCUGAUUGAGCGGCCGAUAUCAGAUUAGCUAGUUGGUGAGGUAAAGGCUCACCAAGGCGACGAUCUGUAGCGGGUCUGAGAGGAUGAUCAGCCACACUGGGACUGAGACACGGCCCAGACUCCUACGGGAGGCAGCAGUGGGGAAUAUUGGACAAUGGGCGCAAGCCUGAUCCAGCAAUGCCGCGUGUGUGAAGAAGGCCUCGGUUGUAAGUACGUC